RNAcentral lists this small RNA (89 nucleotides) under Notechis scutatus (mainland tiger snake). RNAcentral describes it as "7SK RNA (ENSNSUG00000002584.1)". It matches the Rfam family "7SK RNA", at positions 10 to 97 of the family's 331-position model. Rfam says of the family: 7SK was discovered as an abundant small nuclear RNA in the mid-70s but a possible function has only recently been suggested. Two independent studies have found that 7SK RNA binds the CDK9/cyclin T complex (known as elongation factor P-TEFb). P-TEFb activates transcription by phosphorylating the C-terminal domain of RNA polymerase II. The record is from Rfam by way of RNAcentral. Lineage: Eukaryota; Metazoa; Chordata; Lepidosauria; Squamata; Elapidae.
GGCAAUCUGGCUGCAGCAUCUGUCACUCCAUUGAUUGUCAGGGUUGAUUUGUGUGACCUGGCUGGCUAGCUAAGUGUCUCCUCCUCUCC